Pogona vitticeps (central bearded dragon) is the source of this 588-nucleotide non-coding RNA. The record is from RefSeq and is a predicted model, not a curated record. NCBI's taxonomy places the organism in Eukaryota, Metazoa, Chordata, Lepidosauria, Squamata, Agamidae.
AGUACGUGAAGGAUUGCAAAUUAUGUCCUCAGAACUGGAAGUUAUAUAAGGGCAAAUGCUACUGGGUAUCUCAAGAAAGAAAAAGCUGGACUCAGAGUCAAGAUGACUGCAAGGCAAAGAACUCUACACAACCUGUGAUACAGGAUGUGGAUGAGAAGGCAUUCAUAAAAAACAUUACCCAAAAAUCAACUUCUUAUUGGCUGGGGCUAGUAGCCGAGUAUUCUGAAAGGUGGAUCUGGAAAUGGACUGAUGGAUCCCCCUUAAAAGAAAAACUGUUUGCUGUAUCAGGCCCAGCUGGAAAUAACAGUUGUAUAAUGACAAAGGAUGGUGAGGUCAGCUCCGAAGAUUGCAGUUCUCUUUAUGCCUGGGUCUGCAUGAAAACAGCUUUCACCUUAUAAACAAACACAUUGGAAAUUACAGUCACUGCAAUCUGCGGAAGGAGGUGGCUAUUCGUUUAACAUGCACCCUGUACCAGCGCCCUACAGCCCACAGAUGUUUUCUGUCUUCAGAUGAUUCCUUAACUCACAUGAUGAUGCGGCCUACCAUUUGUAGAAGUUUAUGCCAAAUUAAACAUCUCUGUCUAAGUUA